GCCUUAGUAGCUCAGUUGGUUAGAGCGCACUCCUCAUAAGGGUCGAGGUCACUGGUUCAAGUCCAGUCUAAGGCACCA
RNAcentral lists this transfer RNA (78 nucleotides) under Vibrio chagasii. RNAcentral describes it as "tRNA-Met". It matches the Rfam family "tRNA". From Rfam's summary of the family: Transfer RNA (tRNA) molecules are approximately 80 nucleotides in length. Their secondary structure includes four short double-helical elements and three loops (D, anti-codon, and T loops). Further hydrogen bonds mediate the characteristic L-shaped molecular structure. tRNAs have two regions of fundamental functional importance: the anti-codon, which is responsible for specific mRNA codon recognition, and the 3' end, to which the tRNAs corresponding amino acid is attached (by aminoacyl-tRNA synthetases). tRNAs cope with the degeneracy of the genetic code in two manners: having more than one tRNA (with a specific anti-codon) for a particular amino acid; and 'wobble' base-pairing, i.e. permitting non-standard base-pairing at the 3rd anti-codon position. The record is from RNAcentral. Lineage: Bacteria; Pseudomonadati; Pseudomonadota; Gammaproteobacteria; Vibrionales; Vibrionaceae.